RNAcentral lists this ribosomal RNA (254 nucleotides) under uncultured bacterium. RNAcentral describes it as "partial 16S ribosomal RNA". It matches the Rfam family "Bacterial small subunit ribosomal RNA", at positions 524 to 776 of the family's 1533-position model. The record is from RNAcentral.
UACGGGGGGGGCAAGCGUUGUUCGGAAUUACUGGGCGUAAAGGGCUCGUAGGCGGCCAACUAAGUCAUACGUGAAAUCCCUCGGCUUAACCGGGGAACUGCGUCUGAUACUGGAUGGCUUGAGUUCGGGAGAGGGAUGCGGAAUUCCAGGUGUAGCGGUGAAAUGCGUAGAUAUUCGCAAGAACACCAGUGGCGAAGGCGGCUCACUGGCCCGGUACUGGACGCUGAGGCACGAAAGCGUGGGGAGCAAACAGG